RNAcentral lists this ribosomal RNA (518 nucleotides) under uncultured bacterium. RNAcentral's name for it is "bacterial SSU rRNA". It matches the Rfam family "Bacterial small subunit ribosomal RNA", at positions 21 to 539 of the family's 1533-position model. The record is from RNAcentral.
GGCUCAGGAUGAACGCUGGCGGCGUGCCUAACACAUGCAAGUCGAGCGAAGCACUUCAUUAGAACUCUUCGGAGGGACGAGGAAGUGACUGAGCGGCGGACGGGUGAGUAACGCGUGGGCAACCUGCCUUACACAGGGGGAUAACAGUUAGAAAUGACUGCUAAUACCGCAUAAGACCACAUUGCCGCAUGGCAGGGUGGUAAAAACUCCGGUGGUGUAAGAUGGGCCCGCGUCUGAUUAGGUAGUUGGCAGGGUAGAGGCCUACCAAGCCUACGAUCAGUAGCCGGCCUGAGAGGGUGGACGGCCACAUUGGGACUGAGACACGGCCCAAACUCCUACGGGAGGCAGCAGUGGGGAAUAUUGCACAAUGGGGGAAACCCUGAUGCAGCGACGCCGCGUGAGUGAGGAAGUAUUUCGGUAUGUAAAGCUCUAUCAGCAGGGAAGAAAAUGACGGUACCUGACUAAGAAGCCCCGGCUAACUACGUGCCAGCAGCCGCGGUAAUACGUAGGGGGCAAGC